GCCUCUGAGGAUGAUCAAAAAUUACUUUCGUUCUACUGAUUUGCUCAUGUGGAAAUUUUAUGGAGACCUGAACUGAAGAGGG
Small nucleolar RNA from Lathyrus oleraceus (garden pea), 82 nucleotides. RefSeq annotates it as small nucleolar RNA Z159/U59. The transcript has a single exon. The record is from RefSeq and is a predicted model, not a curated record. NCBI's taxonomy places the organism in Eukaryota, Viridiplantae, Streptophyta, Magnoliopsida, Fabales, Fabaceae.